AUUCUGCCCAUGCGGGGAAGGAUGAGAAGCUUCGACCAAGGUUCGACUCGAGCGCCAGCGAGAGAGCGUGGCCGCAGGCAACGACCCGAA
Molecule: small RNA, 90 nt
Filed under: Escherichia coli
Lineage: Bacteria; Pseudomonadati; Pseudomonadota; Gammaproteobacteria; Enterobacterales; Enterobacteriaceae
Description: partial RtT sRNA
Rfam family: RtT RNA
About the family: This family represents a bacterial cis-regulatory element known as RtT RNA.
Source: RNAcentral